CAAAGGUUUGGUCCUGGCCUUAUAAUUAGUUAGAGGCAAGAUUACACAUGCAAAUAUCCAUAAACCGGUGUAAAAUCCCUUAGACAUUUACUCAAAAUUUAAGGAGAGGGUAUCAAGCACAUUAAAUAGCUUAAGACACCUUGCCCAGCCACACCCCCACGGGACUCAGCAGUGAUAAAUAUUAAGCAAUAAACGAAAGUUUGACUAAGCUAUGCCUCUUAGGGUUGGUAAAUUUCGUGCCAGCCACCGCGGUCAUACGAUUAACCCAAAUUAAUUAUUAUCGGCGUAAAACGUGGUAACUAUAAUAAAAAAAAAUAGAAUUAAAAUCCAACUUAUAUGUGAAAAUUCAUUGUUAUGGACCUAAACUCAAUAACGAAAGUAAUUCUAAUUUCUAUUAACACGAUAGCUAAGAUCCAAACUGGGAUUAGAUACCCCACUAUGCUUAGCCCUAAAUCUAAAUAAUUUAGUAACAAAAUUAUUNNNNNNNNNNNNNNNNNNNNNNNNNNNNNNNNNNNNNNNCUUGGCGGUACUUUAUAUCCCCCUAGAGGAGCCUGUUCUAUAAUCGAUAAACCCCGUUACACCUCACCAUCUCUUGCUAAUUCAGCCUAUAUACCGCCAUCUUCAGCAAACCCUAAAAAGGUAGCAAAGUAAGCACAAGAAUAAACAUAAAAACGUUAGGUCAAGGUGUAGCCAAUGAGAUGGGAAGAAAUGGGCUACAUUUUCUUUUAAAAGAACAAUACGGAAUCCUUUAUGAAAUUUAAAGGAUGAAGGCGGAUUUAGUAGUAAAUUAAGAAUAGAGAGCUUAAUUGAAUAGAGCAAUGAAGUACGUACACACCGCCCGUCACCCUCCUCAAACUAAAUUCACUUAAUUAUACAUAAUUCCUAUUACCCAAUUUACUAGAGGAGAUAAGUCGUAACAAGGUAAGCAUACUGGAAAGUGUGCUUGGAAUAAU
Molecule: non-coding RNA, 953 nt
Filed under: Lemniscomys striatus (typical striped grass mouse)
Lineage: Eukaryota; Metazoa; Chordata; Mammalia; Rodentia; Muridae
Source: RNAcentral